RNAcentral lists this ribosomal RNA (475 nucleotides) under uncultured bacterium. Its description in RNAcentral is "bacterial SSU rRNA". It matches the Rfam family "Bacterial small subunit ribosomal RNA", at positions 30 to 506 of the family's 1533-position model. The record is from RNAcentral.
UUGAACGCUGGCGGCAUGCUUUACACAUGCAAGUCGAACGGUAACAGGUUAAGCUGACGAGUGGCGAACGGGUGAGUAAUGCAUCGGAACGUGCCCGAUCGUGGGGGAUAACGCAGCGAAAGCUGCGCUAAUACCGCAUACGAUCUGAGGAUGAAAGCGGGGGACCGUAAGGCCUCGCGCGAUCGGAGCGGCCGAUGUCAGAUUAGGUAGUUGGUGGGGUAAAGGCUCACCAAGCCGACGAUCUGUAGCUGGUCUGAGAGGACGACCAGCCACACUGGGACUGAGACACGGCCCAGACUCCUACGGGAGGCAGCAGUGGGGAAUUUUGGACAAUGGGGGCAACCCUGAUCCAGCCAUGCCGCGUGAGUGAAGAAGGCCUUCGGGUUGUAAAGCUCUUUCAGCCGGGAAGAAAUCACAUGGGUUAAUACCCUGUGUGGAUGACGGUACCGGAAUAAGAAGCACCGGCUAACUACGU